RNAcentral lists this ribosomal RNA (492 nucleotides) under uncultured bacterium. RNAcentral describes it as "partial 16S ribosomal RNA". It matches the Rfam family "Bacterial small subunit ribosomal RNA", at positions 29 to 507 of the family's 1533-position model. The record is from RNAcentral.
AUUGAACGCUGGCGGCAUGCUUUACACAUGCAAGUCGAACGGUAACAGGCCUUCGGGUGCUGACGAGUGGCGAACGGGUGAGUAAUGCAUCGGAACGUACCCAGAGGUGGGGGAUAACGCAGCGAAAGCUGUGCUAAUACCGCAUGUGAUCUGAGGAUGAAAGCGGGGGACCGAGCAGCAAUGUUUGGCCUCGCGCCUUUGGAGCGGCCGAUGUCGGAUUAGCUAGUUGGUGGGGUAAAGGCCUACCAAGGCGACGAUCCGUAGCUGGUCUGAGAGGACGACCAGCCACACUGGGACUGAGACACGGCCCAGACUCCUACGGGAGGCAGCAGUGGGGAAUUUUGGACAAUGGGCGCAAGCCUGGUCCAGCAAUGCCGCGUGCGGGAAGAAGGCCUUCGGGUUGUAAACCGCUUUUGGCAGGAACGAAACGGUGUCCGCUAAUACCGGGCGCUAAUGACGGUACCUGCAGAAUAAGCACCGGCUAACUACGUG